AUUGAACGCUGGCGGCAUGCUUUACACAUGCAAGUCGGACGGCAGCACAGAGAAGCUUGCUUCUUGGGUGGCGAGUGGCGAACGGGUGAGUAACAUAUCGGAACGUACCGAGCAGUGGGGGAUAACUAAUCGAAAGAUUAGCUAAUACCGCAUAUAUUCUGAGGAAGAAAGCAGGGGACCAUUUGGCCUUGCGCUGUUUGAGCGGCCGAUAUCUGAUUAGCUAGUUGGUGGGGUAAAGGCCUACCAAGGCGACGAUCAGUAGCGGGUCUGAGAGGAUGAUCCGCCACACUGGGACUGAGACACGGCCCAGACUCCUACGGGAGGCAGCAGUGGGGAAUUUUGGACAAUGGGCGCAAGCCUGAUCCAGCCAUGCCGCGUGUCUGAAGAAGGCCUUCGGGUUGUAAAGGACUUUUGUCAGGGAAGAAAAGGGCGGGGUUAAUACCCCUGUCUGAUGACGUACCUGAAGAAUAG
Molecule: ribosomal RNA, 471 nt
Filed under: Neisseria mucosa
Lineage: Bacteria; Pseudomonadati; Pseudomonadota; Betaproteobacteria; Neisseriales; Neisseriaceae
Description: bacterial SSU rRNA
Rfam family: Bacterial small subunit ribosomal RNA
Source: RNAcentral